UUUACUUGGAUUUGGGUUUAGGAGCAGGAUGACAAGAAGGCCCCUGACUCUGCUGCUAAAGUCAAAGGCGAAUCAGCCAAGAAGGGAUAUGUUGGAAUUCACAUCUCAGGAUUCAGAGAUAUCCUUUUAAGGCCGGAGCUUGUACGCCCGAUUGUGGACUCAAUAUUUGAGCAUCCUUUUGAAGGUAUACUAUUGAAUUCAAUCUUCCCCGGCGACGGUAUGGCCCCGAGAUUGCCGAGUCCGUCAAACAGAUGGAUGGAGUACCCAGCUCAUGCAAGAACUUCGAGACAUCCCUUGGAUCAGUCGUUGGCUACAUAUGGAGACCAUUCAUUCCUGCGCACUUUAAUUUGCUGUUAGUUUUCUCCAGCAUAUAGGUUAAGAUAUGGAAUAUUCAGGAAAAGAAAUGUACUGCAGUUCUGAUGGGGCACACUUAGUAUGAAAUCUUUGAGUUUGGCGUACCCAUGCAACUCCUUAUCUUGACUAAAAAUGUGACUAAUCUUUUAACUUGUUCAUAUGUUUCUACGCUAGCAUUUUUAGGUUUGCAGUUUUGUUUUGUGAAUUAUGUUGGAUCAUGAAUUUGGACAUAAUUAAUGGAAUGCCUCAAUUUUUAGAUGA
Rosa chinensis is the source of this 615-nucleotide long non-coding RNA. RefSeq lists it as uncharacterized. The record is from RefSeq and is a predicted model, not a curated record. The transcript is spliced from 4 exons. Lineage: Eukaryota; Viridiplantae; Streptophyta; Magnoliopsida; Rosales; Rosaceae.